GAUGCGGUGGCCGAGCGGUCUAAGGCGCUGGAUUUAGGUUCCAGUCUAUUAAUUUAGGCGAGGGUUCGAAUCCCUUCCGCAUUA
This 84-nucleotide transfer RNA is filed under the name Enterospora canceri. It matches the Rfam family "tRNA". Rfam says of the family: Transfer RNA (tRNA) molecules are approximately 80 nucleotides in length. Their secondary structure includes four short double-helical elements and three loops (D, anti-codon, and T loops). Lineage: Eukaryota; Fungi; Microsporidia; Enterocytozoonidae. The record is from Rfam by way of RNAcentral.